This 841-nucleotide ribosomal RNA is filed under the name Xylariaceae sp. PP62. RNAcentral's name for it is "eukaryotic LSU rRNA". It matches the Rfam family "Eukaryotic large subunit ribosomal RNA", at positions 67 to 932 of the family's 3401-position model. The record is from RNAcentral. Lineage: Eukaryota; Fungi; Ascomycota; Sordariomycetes; Xylariales; Xylariaceae.
AACAGGGAUUGCCCUAGUAACGGCGAGUGAAGCGGCAACAGCUCAAAUUUGAAAUCUGGCCCUCGGGCCCGAGUUGUAAUUUGUAGAGGACGCUUUUGGCGCGGUGCCUUCCGAGUUCCCUGGAACGGGACGCCUUAGAGGGUGAGAGCCCCGUACGGUUGGACACCAAGCCUCUGUAAAGCCCCUUCGACGAGUCGAGUAGUUUGGGAAUGCUGCUCUAAAUGGGAGGUAAAUUUCUUCUAAAGCUAAAUAUUGGCCAGAGACCGAUAGCGCACAAGUAGAGUGAUCGAAAGAUGAAAAGCACUUUGAAAAGAGGGUUAAAUAGCACGUGAAAUUGUUGAAAGGGAAGCGUUUGCGACCAGACCUCUCCCCGGCGGAUCAUCCGGUGUUCUUCACUGGUGCACUUCGCCGGGCAGAGGCCAGCAUCGGUUUCCGCGGGGGGACAAAAGCUCAGGGAACGUAGCUCCUUCGGGAGUGUUAUAGCCCUCUGCACAAUGCCCCCGCGGGGACCGAGGACCGCGCCCCCGGGCAAGGAUGCUGGCGUAAUGGUCGCCAACGACCCGUCUUGAAACACGGACCAAGGAGUCGAACAUUUGUGCGAGUGUUUGGGUGUCAAACCCUCACGCGCAAUGAAAGUGAACGGAGGUGAGAGCCCCUCGGGGCGCAUCAUCGACCGAUCCUGAUGUCUUCGGAUGGAUUUGAGUAAGAGCAUAACUGUUCGGACCCGAAAGAUGGUGAACUAUGCGUGGAUAGGGUGAAGCCAGAGGAAACUCUGGUGGAGGCUCGCAGCGGUUCUGACGUGCAAAUCGAUCGUCAAAUCUGCGCAUGGGGGCGAAAGACU